RNAcentral lists this long non-coding RNA (1258 nucleotides) under Arachis ipaensis. RNAcentral's name for it is "long non-coding RNA (AIPA_LNC000197)". Lineage: Eukaryota; Viridiplantae; Streptophyta; Magnoliopsida; Fabales; Fabaceae. The record is from RNAcentral.
CAACUUUUUUUAUUUUUCUCAAUUGUUGUUUGGUUUCCAUUUGAAAAAACCGAAAAAGCUCUAAUUUUUCUUGAGCUCCAUCAAAAAGGGGAUUGCAGGAAAGAGCAUCAUCGUUGCCAUGUCGCGGCAUAGAUCCAGAAGAUUAGAACUACCUCCGGCUCAAGAGGUACGAUACCCAUCAAUCUUCUCUUUUCAUUUUUGGGUCCAAACUGAACAAAAGUGAAAAUCUCAUCAUAGUAAUUUAGCCCUUUUCAUGGUUUCAUCUUGUGUAGUCUAAGUGAAACGAAAAGUUUUGUUUUUUAUAAUUCUAAUGCUUAUUGAUUUUAUAUUGGUUUUGUUUCUUUAACAACAAAAAUGGAAACUUUUGUUGUAACGCUUUUUCUGCUGCAGUACCCGAUGUUGCAUUUGGCUGAAAAAUCAUGUUUUUGGAUGAUUUUGAUUUGCUUGAAUCACAAACACAUUGUUUUGAUUUAUUAUUACUAUUAUUAUAUUAAUUUUUAUUUCUAGCGGGUAUGGUUUUGUUGCUACUAUAUAAAAGGGAAACAGAUUCUGCAUAGCAUGAGUUACGUUUUACUCAUUUACUUCACUUUUGAAUCGUUCUCUGGUUUUCUUAAGCCCUUUUAUCUUCUUAGUUACUGUUGAAUCCUGUGUUUGGUAUUCCCCAUUUCCUUCCCAUUAUCCUUGUUUGCACCAUGGAGCAGUAGCAGUAUUCUACAGUAGUGACAAUUGCACACUCUUGACGUAUUUUCAUGCAAAACAAUUGGAUAAAUAAUACUGUGGUCCCAUUGUGACUUCUUAUUUGCAUCUUUGGUUGUUCAUAUUACCUCACACAGUUUCUGCAAAUGUCUCUGUUUUUUUAAGGGCUAGGUCUUCUUAUAAGCAUUGUGUUGCCUAUGCUCUUCUUUUAUUGUCAUUUUUCUUUAAGGAUUUUCCUAUUUCUUAUGCUGAAAUGCAGAAUAUUGAAAAAUUGGAGAAAGUUAUAAAUGAGGGCAACCAUAAACCCUAAUGCCAUAAAGAUGACUACCACCACCACCACCGACGCAGCCUCAUCGGAAGCUCAGCUGCUGAAAACGGUGACCACCAUCCUCACCAGCCACCGUGACCCCCACACCGCACUCAAACCCUUAAUCCAAAAUCUCACCCUCCCCACGGUGCUUUCCGUCCUCUCCUCCACCCAACUCCACCGCACCCACUCCGCCACCCUCCUCUCCUUCUUCCACAUCUUCUGCCACUCUCCCCACCCUUCUCUCUCCUCCUC